UAGGGAAUCUUCCGCAAUGGGCGAAAGCCUGACGGAGCAACGCCGCGUGAGUGAUGAAGGUCUUCGGAUCGUAAAACUCUGUUAUUAGGGAAGAACAAAUGUGUAAGUAACUAUGCACGUCUUGACGGUACCUAAUCAGAAAGCCACGGCUAACUACGUGCCAGCAGCCGCGGUAAUACGUAGGUGGCAAGCGUUAUCCGGAAUUAUUGGGCGUAAAGCGCGCGUAGGCGGUUUUUUAAGUCUGAUGAGAAAGCCCACGGCUCAACCGUGGAGGGUCAUUGGAAACUGGAAAACUUGAGUGCAGAAGAGGAAAGUGGAAUUCCAUGUGUAGCGGUGAAAUGCGCAGAGAUAUGGAGGAACACCAGUGGCGAAGGCGACUUUCGGGUCUGUAACUGACGCUGAUGUGCGAAAGCGGGGGGAUCAAACAGG
Molecule: ribosomal RNA, 429 nt
Filed under: Actinomycetes bacterium
Lineage: Bacteria; Bacillati; Actinomycetota; Actinomycetes
Description: Actinobacteria bacterium partial 16S ribosomal RNA
Rfam family: Bacterial small subunit ribosomal RNA
Source: RNAcentral